ACCACAACGGGUGGAGCCUGCGGUUUAAUUGGACUCAACGCCGGGCAGCUCACCGGAUAAGACAGCUGGAUGAUAGCCGGGCUGAAGACUCUGCUUGACUAGCUGAGAGGAGGUGCAUGGCCGUCGUCAGUUCGUACUGUGAAGCAUCCUGUUAAGUCAGGCAACGAGCGAGACCCACGCCAACAGUUGCCAGCAUGUCCUCCGGGAUGAUGGGGACACUGUUGGGACCGCCUCUGCUAAAGAGGAGGAAGGAAUGGGCAACGGUAGGUCAGCAUGCCCCGAAUUAUCCGGGCUACACGCGGGCUACAAUGGUCAGGACAAUGGGUAUCGACACCGAGAGGUGGAGGCAAUCUCCUAAACCUGUCCUUAGUUCGGAUUGUGGGCUGCAACUCGCCCACAUGAAGCUGGAAUCCGUAGUAAUCGCGUUUCAAAAUAGCGCGGCGAAUAUGUCCCUGCUCCUU
Molecule: ribosomal RNA, 461 nt
Filed under: uncultured Methanolinea sp.
Lineage: Archaea; Methanobacteriati; Methanobacteriota; Methanomicrobia; Methanomicrobiales; Methanoregulaceae
Description: bacterial SSU rRNA
Rfam family: Archaeal small subunit ribosomal RNA
Source: RNAcentral